This 755-nucleotide ribosomal RNA is filed under the name Thalassiosira minuscula. Its description in RNAcentral is "partial Bacterial large subunit ribosomal RNA". It matches the Rfam family "Bacterial large subunit ribosomal RNA", at positions 934 to 1689 of the family's 2925-position model. The record is from RNAcentral. Lineage: Eukaryota; Bacillariophyta; Thalassiosirophyceae; Thalassiosirales; Thalassiosiraceae.
ACUUACCAAACCGAUGCAAACUCCGAAUACCAAUGAGUACUAUCCGGGAGACAGACUGCGGGUGCUAACGUCCGUAGUCAAGAGGAAAACAAUCCAGACCGCCAGCUAAGGCCCCAAAAUUAUAGUUAAGUGGGAAACGAUGUGGGAAGGCAUAGACAGCUAGGAGGUUGGCUUAGAAGCAGCCAUCCUUUAAAGAAAGCGUAAUAGCUCACUAGUCGAGUCGGCCUGCGCGGAAGAUGUAACGGGGCUAAAACUAUAUGCCGAAGCUGCGGAUUUGCAAUUUAUUGCAAGUGGUAGGGGAGCGUUCUGUAAGCCGAUGAAGGUGUAUUGAGAAGUAUGCUGGAGGUAUCAGAAGUGCGAAUGCUGACAUAAGUAACGUUAAAGCGGGUGAAAAGCCCGCUCGCCGGAAGACCAAGGGUUCCUGUCCAACGUUAAUCGGGGCAGGGUGAGUCGACCCCUAAGGCGAGGCUGAAAAGCGUAGUCGAUGGAAAACAGGUUAAUAUUCCUGUACUUCUGGUUAUUGCGAUGGAGGGACGGAGAAGGCUAGGCCAGCUUGGCGUUGGUUGUCCAAGUUUAAGGUGGUAGGCUGAAAUCUUAGGCAAAUCCGGGAUUUCAAGGCCGAGAGCUGAUGACGAGUGCUCAUUAGAGCGCGAAGUGGUUGAUGCCAUGCUUCCAAGAAAAGCUUCUAAGCUUCAGGUAACCAGGAACCGUACCCCAAACCGACACAGGUGGUUGGGUAGAGAAUACCAAGGCGC